UUUUCUCAUCAACUUUUCUUCAUUUUUUUCUGGUUUCGUUUCAAGAAUUUUUUUUUUUAUUUUCAUCCAAGAAAAUAACUAUCACAUGAUUCAAUUAAAAAAUGAAUCAGUUUCUACAAUCAUCGAGCAUCUUUACAAAUAACAAAACAGCCAUAAUGAAUGUUUCUGGUUUAUUUCAAAUGGGGAAAAAAAAUUCUUGGAAAUAAUAAUUAUGAUGAAGACAAAAUAUGGAUGAUGUCGUUAAAAAAAAUGUAUAAAUCCUCAUCGAUUGGUAUUUUUGGAAAAACAAACAUCGACAGAAUGGAUAAAAACACCUGGCCCGAGAGUGCGUACAGUGCUUGAUCUUUUGUCUCAACCAGUAUUUUUUUUGGUUGACUUGAAACAUUUUUUUUUCAUUUCAGAAACAAAAAAUUUCAUUGAAUGAAAAAA
Molecule: non-coding RNA, 429 nt
Organism: Dermatophagoides farinae (American house dust mite)
Lineage: Eukaryota; Metazoa; Arthropoda; Arachnida; Sarcoptiformes; Pyroglyphidae
Source: RefSeq, a predicted model, not a curated record